Molecule: long non-coding RNA, 1293 nt
Filed under: Marmota monax (woodchuck)
Lineage: Eukaryota; Metazoa; Chordata; Mammalia; Rodentia; Sciuridae
Source: RNAcentral
AAAUAUUAAAAUUCUUUAAAAAAAAAGAUAAAAAUACUUUUAAAAAGGACUGGGGGAUGUGGCUCAGUUUAAGCACCUUGGGGUUUAAUCUCUGGUACAAAAAAAAAAUUAAGAUUGGACCUACAGAGCAGAUUCUUCUCUUAUCUGCCUCACUUGGAAGCCAAAUGACCCAGAAGUAUCUGCUAUCUGCUAUACUUUGUUUUCCAGAAAGGACAGAAACUACUGACAUGGUUCUUGACACACUUGUCUAAUCUGUCCCUUCCCCUUCUGUGAAAGCAUGUGGACACCUUCAAACAUGGCCCCAAUAACACUGCAGAAAUACAGCUAGGAGGCUGGUGAUAUAGCUCGGUUGGUAAAGUGCUUGCCUUACCCAGCACACACACACACACACACACACAUAUAGUAUGAGUUAUUAUUUGUAUAUAGUAUAUAGUACAGUAUUUGUAUAUAGUAGAGUUAAUUAUUUGUAUAAGUUCAUAUUUUUAUAUAUUAGUAGCCAAUUGUCCCAGCAUCAUUUUGUGAAAAGUUUAUCUUUUUCCCAACUGAAUUCUGUUGGCACCUUUGUUAAAAAUUAAUUGAACAUUAAUGGGUCUGGGGACAUAGUUUAUUUGUUAGAGUGCUUGCUUUGCAUGUACAAGGCCUUGGGUUCAAUCCCCAGCACCAUAAAUAAAUAAAUAAAUAACAAAUAAAUAAAUAAAUAAAUAAAUAAAUAAAAAUUAAACAUUUUAAUGGACUCUCAAUUCUGUUCCAUGACACCAAUAUUAUGUCCAUCUUGACAUUAUUUAAACUGUAUCUUUUUUUAAAUUUUUUUAAAGAGAGAGAGAGAGAGAGAGAGAAAGAAUUUUUUAAUAUUUAUUUUUUAGUUUUCAGCAGGCACAACAUCUUUGUUUGUAUGUGGUGCUGAGGAUCGAACCCAGGCCGCACGCAUGCCAGGCGAGCGCGCUACCGCUUGAGCCACAUCCCCAGCCCUAAACUGUAUCUUUAGUUUUCAGAUAAGGUAAUGUAAACCCUCCAAGUUGUUCUACUUUUGGAAAAUUGUUUUGGCUAUUCUAGGUCAUUUGCAUUUUCGUAUACAUUUGAGGAUCGAAUUGUCAAUUUCUACAAUAAAAUGCCUGCCAGAAUUUUCAUAAGGGUUGAAUUGAAUCUAUUGAUAAAUUGGGGAGAACUACCAUUUUAUCAUUUUCAGUUAUUCCAAUUCAUGAAUAUGGUAUGUCUCACCAUUUAGUUAGAUCUUUAAAACUCUCAACAAUCUUAUGUAAAUUUCAGUGUACCAGUUUUACACUUCUUUUGUUA